This 408-nucleotide ribosomal RNA is filed under the name uncultured microorganism. RNAcentral's name for it is "bacterial SSU rRNA". It matches the Rfam family "Bacterial small subunit ribosomal RNA", at positions 509 to 916 of the family's 1533-position model. The record is from RNAcentral.
CAGCCGCCGCGGUAAUACGUAGGGUGCGAGCGUUAAUCGGAUUUACUGGGCGUAAAGCGUGCGCAGGCGGCCCGUUAAGACAGGUGUGAAAUCCCUGGGCUCAACCUAGGAAUUGCGCUUGUGACUGGCGGGCUCGAGUACGGUAGAGGGGGUGGAAUUCCUGGUGUAGCAGUGAAAUGCGUAGAGAUCAGGAGGAACACCGAUGGCGAAGGCAGCCCCCUGGGCCUGUACUGACGCUCAUGCACGAAAGCGUGGGGAGCAAACAGGAUUAGAUACCCUGGUAGUCCACGCCCUAAACGAUGGGUACUAGCCGUUUGGUGCGCGAUAGCGCUGAGUGGCGAAGCUAACGCGUGAAGUACCCCGCCUGGGGAGUACGGCCGCAAGGUUGAAACUUAAAGGAAUUGCGGG